This 232-nucleotide ribosomal RNA is filed under the name uncultured bacterium. RNAcentral's name for it is "partial 16S ribosomal RNA". It matches the Rfam family "Bacterial small subunit ribosomal RNA", at positions 100 to 334 of the family's 1533-position model. The record is from RNAcentral.
CGGGACGGGUGAGUAAUGUCUGGGAAACUGCCCGAUGGAGGGGGAUAACUACUGGAAACAGUAGCUAAUACCGCAUAACGUCGCAAGACCAAAGAGGGGACCUUCGGGCCUCUUGCCAUCGGAUGUGCCCAGAUGGGAUUAGCUAGUAGGUGGGGUAACGGCUCACCUAGGCGACGAUCCCCAGCUGGUCUGAGAGGAUGACCAGCCACACUGGAACUGAGACACGGUCCAG